UACGUAGGGUGCGAGCGUUAAUCGGAAUUACUGGGCGUAAAGCGUGCGUAGGCGGUUCGCUGUGUCCGAUGUGAAAGCCCCGGGCUUAACCUGGGAAUGGCAUUGGAAACUGGCGGGCUUGAGUGCGGCAGAGGGGGGUGGAAUUCCGCGUGUAGCAGUGAAAUGCGUAGAGAUGUGGAGGAACACCGAUGGCGAAGGCAGCCCCCUGGGCCGAUACUGACGCUCAGGCACGAAAGCGUGGGGAGCAAACAGG
RNAcentral lists this ribosomal RNA (253 nucleotides) under uncultured bacterium. RNAcentral describes it as "partial 16S ribosomal RNA". It matches the Rfam family "Bacterial small subunit ribosomal RNA", at positions 524 to 776 of the family's 1533-position model. The record is from RNAcentral.